Carassius gibelio (silver crucian carp) is the source of this 729-nucleotide long non-coding RNA. RefSeq lists it as uncharacterized. The transcript is spliced from 2 exons. Lineage: Eukaryota; Metazoa; Chordata; Actinopteri; Cypriniformes; Cyprinidae. The record is from RefSeq and is a predicted model, not a curated record.
AUCUACAUAGGCAGGCACACAACCUAGUUGCAUCACGUUCACACCCAGGAUCACAUGAUGUUUUGAAAAGUCACAUGACCAAUUAGGAAGUGAUAAGUGUCUGCUGGUUGCAAGGCAGAUUCUCUUUGUGUUGGUGCUGGACACUGUUGUGCGUGUUGGGCUUCCUUUUCAGUGUAGGUACUGUUGGUCAUGGUAGAGCAUGAUUAAUCACUGCCAUUUGAAUUUUAAUAUUUAUUUUGUUUUAUCAGGGUAAUUUCUAGAAGUGUGUGUCUACUCUUCAUGGAGGACACAGGCUUCUGCAUGGAGUUUUAAAAUGUGUUGUGAUCACCUCAUUGUGACCUGAGCUGCUGGGCUGCAUCGGCUAUCCCUGUACAAGGCCGGAUCCACACUGAUGCUUUGCCCCUUCUUGCCAAGGGACCACAUUGUUAGAGACAUUGGUUUGGGGUGUCUUUAUAACCAUAACACGGUGUGAGAUUUUUUUGUCGUGGUAUCUGAAGAUCUUGAAUGAGUGGUGCUUGCUGUGUUGCAUGCUUCUUCUGGUGCUGGGUUGCUGUCUCCUGUUUCUUUUUGUCUCACCAGGGUCCACCUGAGCAGGGGUUUCGCAUUGGCUGAUCCGACCUUCCUAGACUGAGGAGAAUCCACCAAUUGUAUAGCAGUAUUUAAGAGCCAUUUUAAUAACUUUUCCACACUUUUUGUACUAAAUUGUAAUAAAUUUGAAAUACAUUUAUA